GAUGAACGCUAGCUACAGGCUUAACACAUGCAAGUCGAGGGGAAACGAUGAGAGAGCUUGCUCUCUUAGUCGUCGACCGGCGCACGGGUGAGUAACGCGUAUCCAACCUGCCUCUGACCAAGGGAUAACCCGUCGAAAGUCGGACUAAUACCUUAUGCAGUCGUCGGAAGUCAUCUGAUGACGACGAAAGAUUUCAUCGGUGAGAGAUGGGGAUGCGUCUGAUUAGCUUGUUGGCGGGGUAACGGCCCACCAAGGCGACGAUCAGUAGGGGUUCUGAGAGGAAGGUCCCCCACAUUGGAACUGAGACACGGUCCAAACUCCUACGGGAGGCAGCAGUGAGGAAUAUUGGUCAAUGGGCGUAAGCCUGAACCAGCCAAGUAGCGUGCAGGAUGACGGCCCUAUGGGUUGUAAACUGCUUUUAUGCGGGGAUAAAGUGAGGGACGUGUCCUUCAUUGCAGGUACCGCAUGAAUAAGGACCGGCUAAUUCCGUA
Molecule: ribosomal RNA, 491 nt
Filed under: uncultured bacterium
Lineage: Bacteria
Description: partial 16S ribosomal RNA
Rfam family: Bacterial small subunit ribosomal RNA
Source: RNAcentral